Molecule: ribosomal RNA, 582 nt
Filed under: uncultured cyanobacterium
Lineage: Bacteria; Bacillati; Cyanobacteriota
Description: bacterial SSU rRNA
Rfam family: Bacterial small subunit ribosomal RNA
Source: RNAcentral
GCUGGCGAGAUGCUUUACACAUGCAAGUCAUACGAGAGUUUUUAACUCAAGUGGCGGACGGGUGAGUAACACGUAAGAAUUUGCCUUUAGGAGGGGGAUAACAACGAGAAAUUGCUGCUAAUACCCCAUAUGCUUUCGAGUGAAAUGGAUUUUUUCCGCCUGAAGAGAAGCUUGCGCCUGAUUAGCUUGUUGGUAAGGUAAUGGCUUACCAAGGCGACGAUCAGUAUCUGGUUUGAGAGGAUGAUCAGACACACUGGAACUGAGACACGGUCCAGACUCCUACGGGAGGCAGCAGUGGGGAAUUUUCCGCAAUGGGCGAAAGCCUGACGGAGCAAACUCGCGUGAGGGAUGACGGCCUAUGGGUUGUAAACCUCUUUUUUCAGGGAGGAAUAAAAUGACGUGUACCUGAAGAAUAAGCAUCGGCUAACUCCGUGCCAGCAGCCGCGGUAAGACGGAGGAUGCAAGUGUUAUCCGGAAUCACUGGGCGUAAAGCGUCUGUAGGUGGUUUAGUAAGUCAACUGUUAAAUCUUGAAGCUUAACUUCAAAAUCGCAGUCGAAACUGCUAGACUAGAGUAUAGUAGG